This 68-nucleotide small RNA is filed under the name Arabidopsis thaliana (thale cress). RNAcentral's name for it is "ATSL285970". Lineage: Eukaryota; Viridiplantae; Streptophyta; Magnoliopsida; Brassicales; Brassicaceae. The record is from RNAcentral.
AUUUUAAAUAUAACUUUAAUUUUUGUAAGUAAUUACAUAAGUAUGCCAUUAGAAAUAAAAUUUUAAAA